Molecule: ribosomal RNA, 253 nt
Filed under: uncultured bacterium
Lineage: Bacteria
Description: partial 16S ribosomal RNA
Rfam family: Bacterial small subunit ribosomal RNA
Source: RNAcentral
UACAGAGGGUGCAAGCGUUGUUCGGAAUUAUUGGGCGUAAAGCGCGUGUAGGCGGCAUAGCAAGUCGGGUGUGAAAGCCCUCAGCUCAACUGAGGAAGUGCGCCCGAAACUGCUGUGCUUGAGUGCCGGAGAGGAUGGCGGAAUUCCCCAAGUAGAGGUGAAAUUCGUAGAUAUGGGGAGGAACACCGGUGGCGAAGGCGGCCAUCUGGACGGUAACUGACGCUGAGACGCGAAAGCGUGGGGAGCAAACAGG